Long non-coding RNA from Apis laboriosa (Himalayan honeybee), 759 nucleotides. RefSeq lists it as uncharacterized. The record is from RefSeq and is a predicted model, not a curated record. The transcript is spliced from 3 exons. Lineage: Eukaryota; Metazoa; Arthropoda; Insecta; Hymenoptera; Apidae.
UAAGUCGUAAAAUCGGUCAGGCGUUAGGAAUUUAUGUUUUAAGAUAGAACAUGUAACUUGAGACGUUUUAGGGGAGAUAAGGAACUCUGAGCUCUCCUUUAAAUCCAUAUACAUACAUACAUACAUAUAUAUAUAGUUAUGACUAUAGACUGAAUAUGUAUAUACGUACAUAUUUUCUGCAGUAUAUAUUAUAAUGGCUUCAUCAAUCGAUGUUAUCGCUUAAUGUUUUCGAUCUCACUAUUAUUUUUUUGUUUUUGAUGUAUAUAAUGAUGAAAGCAUAGUUCAACUGAUUUUUAAUGAAGAAUAUUAAAAAUGUCUUUCGCUCCUAUCUGAUAAAAUAAUAAUAAUAAUAAUAUAUAAUUGUAUUGAAUACAAAAAGAUUUUUCACAUAAAAAUAUACGUACUUGAUGUUUCAGAAAAAGUUUCAUGGAUCAGUGAAUUGAAGUAUUAUUGCAGCUUUAAUUAGAAGCUAAGCACUGGAUUUAAAACUAUAAUAAUAGUUGAAGGGUGCUGGUACAAGAAAAACUGAAUAUUUUAAGUACGAAAAAUUAAAUAUAAAUCUCCAAUGAUAGGUAAAUAACUAUUUCAUUUUAAAAGAUCAAGCAUUACUGAUAAAAAAAUAUUUAAAUUAUUUUAUUACAAUGAUGUAAAACAUUUGCAAUGAUUCAAUGAUUACAUUCCAUUAGCUCUAUCUGAAAGUUAAAUUUCUCUUUCUAUUCACAAAAUAGAAAAAUAUAACUGGUAAACAAUGCAUUUUUA